GAUGAACGCUGGCGGCGUGCCUAACACAUGCAAGUCGAACGGAUCUGUAUUGAAACCUAGUGAUAUACAGGUUAGUGGCGGACGGGUGAGUAACGCGUGGAUAACCUGCCGUAUACCGGGGGAUAACACUUAGAAAUAGGUGCUAAUACCGCAUGAGCGCACAGCUCCGCAUGGAGCAGUGUGAAAAACUCCGGUGGUAUACGAUGGAUCCGCGUCUGAUUAGCCAGUUGGCGGGGUAACGGCCCACCAAAGCGACGAUCAGUAGCCGGCCUGAGAGGGUGAACGGCCACAUUGGGACUGAGACACGGCCCAG
This 313-nucleotide ribosomal RNA is filed under the name uncultured bacterium. RNAcentral describes it as "bacterial SSU rRNA". It matches the Rfam family "Bacterial small subunit ribosomal RNA", at positions 28 to 334 of the family's 1533-position model. The record is from RNAcentral.